Molecule: long non-coding RNA, 281 nt
Filed under: Rattus norvegicus (Norway rat)
Lineage: Eukaryota; Metazoa; Chordata; Mammalia; Rodentia; Muridae
Description: long non-coding RNA NONRATT033180
Source: RNAcentral
UUCCCCUUUUAACAUUUGGUUUAAUACCGGGCCUUUAGAGCAAGACAUGAAUUUAAAGGCAAAGAAACCAAACCAAAAGAUUGAAACAAACAACAAGAAGCAGCAACUACGUCCUUCAUAAAAUAAGCACAAUCAAUGGAUGUGUGGCAUCCCAAGAACUGAGCAACUACUCGACUUGGGUGAAAUUGUGAAAAAAAUCUUCCACAUGAAUGGACUACAGAAAAGAUUAAGAGCACACAGGUUUCAUCACCAAGGAUGACUGGGUGUUGUGGAGCAUUUUC